Heterocephalus glaber (naked mole-rat) is the source of this 1112-nucleotide non-coding RNA. The record is from RefSeq and is a predicted model, not a curated record. NCBI's taxonomy places the organism in Eukaryota, Metazoa, Chordata, Mammalia, Rodentia, Bathyergidae.
AUGUCAUUAAAGGCCUGUCUCCAUGGGCAGAGGUCACUCCCAACUCACUGGCCCCAAACUCAACUCUGAGGCCCUGGGAACAAUGAGUUCACAUCUGUGCCUUGAGAACAGGACUGUCAAUCCCUGGUGGGGGCUCCCAGGCCUCUGAGUGAGGCAAAGUCCUGAGACAUGCCUGAUCCCCAUUAAGAAGACAACCCCACCAAAUGACCAGGCCAGAAGCCCUACCAACAGAAUCAGACCUGCCUGGUGCUCCUGAGAUGUUGCAACCUCUUCACCAGGGAAACCGUGGCAGAAACUGAUCUCCUUUCCGAGAUCUCUGGCCUUUGUUUUUCCAGGGGAAAUGCAAUAUUGUCCCCAGGGAGGUUGGAGAGGUGGGGGAUCCAGCGUCACUCUCAACGCCCUCUUUGUACCAACCACAGAGGAAUCCAACAAGGGCUGAAGGGAGCACUCGAGCUCUCUGGUUAAACAGCCCCUGGCUUUAAUCUGUCUCUCUUAAAACAACAAAACUAUCUUUCUUCGGAGUCUGGAAAUGCUGCUGUUCAACCAAAUGAGGGCUCUGGUAGGGUGAAAACAUUUGCUGGAAAGUGUGUGAGGUUAUGCUUUAGGAAAAGUUCCUGAGAGCCAUUCAUCGGCCAGCAAGGAGCCUGCUGACAGUCUCCAAAGCCCAUGCUUGAAGAUCAAAUAGACCCUGAUUUGUUUUUAAAAUGCACCCACCCCAUCACCACCCUGGGCCAGCUCCUCAAAUUGUUCUUGGGUCUAACUCUUUGAAAGGGCCGCAGAAAGCAAGUCCCGAACGAAAGAAAAACAGGACUCCUCUUGGUUUGCCUUAAUCUACAGACCCUUCACCACCUGCCGGAACGUCCAACUGCACCAAUUUGUCCUGUUAUCAUUUUGGAGGGAGGUGAUGAAAUACCUCUUCCAAGCCCUUGGGCAGCCUUGAACUAACUGAAAAGGGUGGAAUUCCAGAACCUGGGUAGAUGGGUUGUUAAGGAUCCCAAAACCCAAAGUCAGAAAUGCAACAGCCCUCUCAGUAAAAUUGCAUGCGCAUAUGCACUGUUUGAUAUGAACAUCUGUGAUACAUUAUUGUACUAAAAUAUCUGCUAAGUGCAUCA